GGAUACGUCACCUUAACGACCGGUUACACCGAACGGUCCAGUUUACCAAUUAAAUGGGCCGAAUUAUCAAACUGGUCUAACUUUAUUGGGCUCGAGGCCCAUCAUGUCACAAAUGUGAAUAAAUGAACAAUAUCAUAUAUCACGUAUCAAAUAAUAUCCCAACAAAAAUAUAUCAAGUAAGUUUGUUUAUAUUUCAUUCUGUUUUAUUCUGUUUAUAUUCUAUUGAUCUCAUAUCAAUCCAAAACCUAUAAAUAAAGAACCAAGGACUCCAAACACACACGGUACGUUCACAUUCUUUCAUACUCAUA
Molecule: long non-coding RNA, 308 nt
Filed under: Vigna radiata
Lineage: Eukaryota; Viridiplantae; Streptophyta; Magnoliopsida; Fabales; Fabaceae
Description: long non-coding RNA (VRAD_LNC004175)
Source: RNAcentral